GGCCGCAAGGCUGAAACUCAAAGGAAUUGACGGCGGCCAGCACAAGCGGUGUAGCAUGUGGUUUAAUUCGAUGCUACGCGCAGAACCUUACCAGGGCUUGA
RNAcentral lists this ribosomal RNA (101 nucleotides) under Hydrogenothermaceae bacterium. RNAcentral's name for it is "partial 16S ribosomal RNA". It matches the Rfam family "Bacterial small subunit ribosomal RNA", at positions 884 to 984 of the family's 1533-position model. Lineage: Bacteria; Pseudomonadati; Aquificota; Aquificia; Aquificales; Hydrogenothermaceae. The record is from RNAcentral.